GUAAAAAAAAAAAAAAGGAGGAAGAAUUAAGGAAAGAAAAGGAACAACAUGAGAAAGUAAAAGUAGAAUACAAAGAAUGUAAAUAGAGAGUAAGAAAAUAGAAAGUAAAGUCACUUGUGGCAGAGGCGUGGUGUGAAGGAGGCCUUAGUGUUAAUUGGUGGGCAGUGGUGGCGUGCUGAUCAGUGGGUAGCGGCGGGCAGUGGAAGCCUCGGUUCUUGUCGGUUAGGUUAGGUCAGGUUGGUGUCGUUAGUUAGGUUAGGUUGGUUUCGUUGUUAGGUUAGUUUCGCUGUUAGGUUGGUUUCGUUGUUAGGUUAGGUUGGUUUCAUUGGUUAGGUUAGGUUAGGUUAGUAGAACGGCCAACCACUGCACCAACCAGGCUGGAAGGAUGUCCAGCUGCUCUGCCAUAAGGCUUCGCCUUCACCCUCGUACCCUGCCCCUACUGCCUGGUCUUGCCUAUGUGAGGGUGCGUCAGCCUCAAAAUCCUAUUAAU
Molecule: long non-coding RNA, 490 nt
Organism: Portunus trituberculatus (swimming crab)
Lineage: Eukaryota; Metazoa; Arthropoda; Malacostraca; Decapoda; Portunidae
Exons: 3
Source: RefSeq, a predicted model, not a curated record